Molecule: ribosomal RNA, 250 nt
Filed under: uncultured prokaryote
Description: partial 16S ribosomal RNA
Rfam family: Bacterial small subunit ribosomal RNA
Source: RNAcentral
UACAGAGGGUGCAAGCGUUAAUCGGAAUUACUGGGCGUAAAGCGCGCGUAGGUGGUUCAUUAAGUCGGAUGUGAAAUCCCCGGGCUCAACCUGGGAACUGCAUCCGAUACUGGUGAACUAGAGUAGGUGAGAGGGGAGUAGAAUUCCAGGUGUAGCGGUGAAAUGCGUAGAGAUCUGGAGGAAUACCGAUGGCGAAGGCAGCUCCCUGGCAUCAUACUGACACUGAGGUGCGAAAGCGUGGGUAGCAAAC